AAACAGAAUGCAAUUGAAAUUUAUGCCCACAAAGUAGGGGAGGAGCUUGAUACAUUUUAAAAUAAAACUUAAAUGUUGUACAAGAUUAAAUUUUGAAAUUCUAAAAUUACUCUGGGCUAUCUCAAUUAGCUAAAAGAAACUUUUAAUAAAAAAUCUAAAUUUCAAUUGGAUAACUUUAUAUGUUAUAUGAGAAUAAAAUGAAAUUAAGUGCUUUAUUUUGUAAUAUCUAAUUUUGGCUAAGGGUUCAAAAUAAUCAUAAGUAAACACAACUUAUUUGAUAAGAUUUGUCAUAUGCAUCAAAGAAAGCUUCUCUGGAUGAAGACAAAAAGAAAGUAUACCUGUGGAAAUAUUUGUUUUGUAAUAUUUACGUAUUUUAAUACACAAUCUUAGAACUGAUGCUACUCUGUACUUAGCAGAAUUUUCUCAGACUUUACAUCUUGACAACCAAAGAAAAAAUAUGUUCUUAAUUUAAAAUAUUGGGAUGAAAACUCAACUUCAGUAUAAAAACAAAACAAAAACAACCAGUUUUAAAGAUGGGACUUGAAUACCCACCUCCAGCCCUUUGAGGAUAUACAAAAAGGAUAUAAAAAGAUGCUUAAUAUCACUCUGCAUCAGGGAAAUGCAAGUCGAAACCACAGUGAGAUAUCACCUCCCACCCUUUAGGAUGCUACUAUCAAAAUAACAACUAUUGUUUGAUUCCACUUAUUUGAGGUUCCUAGAGUAGUCCAAUUCAUAGAGACUAAAGCAGAACAGGGGUUGCCAGGGAAAGGGUGGUGGGAGCAACUUAUUUGAUGGGUAUAGAAUUUCAGUUUGGAGUCAUCAAAAAGUUCAGGAGAUGGAGAGUGGUGAUGGUUGUACGAUACUGUGAACAUACUUAAUUCCACUGAAUGCUUCACUUAAAUGAUCAAUGGUAUAUCAUGCAUAUUUUAGCACAAUAUAAACGUUUAAACAUUUUUUUCAAACUUGAGAUCUACAGAGGACAGCCAAUUAUUUUCCAAGUUAUUAACCAUGAAAUGCUAACAUUUCUAGUUCAAAUUCUAUGUUCCAGGGUCCAAACACAAUCUAGGGAAUGCAUAUUAGUAAUCCACAGUUGGUAGGUAAUAAAACAUACGGAGGUUAAGAAUUUGCCCAGGAAUAUACCUCUGGUAGGGAGUGAGCUUGGACUCAAAUGUGAGCAGGCUGCCCCGUCCGUGUCCCUCCUGGCGUUUGACAUUCUCCAGCCCGAGUCUAUAAAACGUUAAUCCAAGACCACACACGUGGUUAGUAUUUUUUCACUUACACAUUUUCCCCACCAAAUUGUAGCUGUAACGCAUGAAAGAAAUCCAAGAAAUAUAUUGUCAUUUUCUGUAACAGUGUCGUCUUCAUCUGUCAUAAAAGUAGGGGACAGAGAGGUUUCCUUCAAGCCCAACCCCGCCUGAAAUAAGGUGACUAUAUUAAACAGGGCAGGAAAUCACAAGACCUCCGUUACACAUGCAGCAAUAGAGCCGCCAGCUAGGUAAAGAAUUUUCACCAUGAAAAUACAACUUUGCUUUGCAUCAUGUACAUUGUGCAGGAAGUCACAAGACCUCCGUUACACAUGCAGCAAUAGAGCCGCCAGCUAGGUAAAGAAUUUUCACCAUGAAAAUACAACUUUGCUUUGCAUCAUGUACAUUGUGCAGGAAGUCACAAGACCUCCGUUACACAUGCAGCAAUAGAGCCGCCAGCUAGGUAAAGAAUUUUCACCAUGAAAAUACAACCUUGCUUUGCCUCAUGUACAUUGUGCAUCAUGAGCAUUACGGAACAACUGUAUCACUAUCAAUGAUGACACGUUCUAACUGCACACGCUUCCAGCUUUCCAAGGUAUCGCUUCAUCUAUUGUCUCUGACUUUAUCCUCAGUGCAACCUUGUGCAAAUGAAGACAAGGGUAUUAAGCAAUUUGCUUAAUGGCAGAUCUGGGAAUAAGAACCAGAUCCUCUUGGGUGUGUUCAAUAAUUACUUGUUUAUAAACUGACCUCUUGGGAUUCUCCCGGAGAAAAAAUGCGAUGAAUCUUAGGCCAGCUCACAGACUCCCUUAUGUCAAUUUAAGUUAAAACAAAGUUACCCAUUUAAAACAUUUUUUGAUUAUGUGAUAAUUUUAUUCAUAAAAUAUCCCCAGUUAUUGUAGUCAAAUUAAGUUAAGAAAUCCAAUCUCAGCUCACGCCUUGAAACCUCAAAUUUUGAAUGGGUUAUGAUGAUCUGUGCCCCAGACAAGCCAUACCAUAAUGUCUGCUCAAUGUAGGCAUAAAUCUUAUUAAAAUAUGAAAGCAAAGGUGAAAGAUAAAUUAAGCAGCGAUAAGAAAAUGCUAUUUUAUUAUUAGAAUAAAAGAAUCAGCUGUAAUGACAACUAAUAAAAAUGAAAAAAGAUACAUGAUUAAAAAACGCUAAAUACUAAUUAUGGGAUCUGAAAAGUUGAAAGAAGAAAAUUCAUAUUAGGUAAAAGCAGAAGGAAGAUCAUUUAUAAAGUCCAUUGGAACAUUUAAAAUCCGGAAAGGAGAUGACUAUACAUGUAAUGAAAUGGAUAUUGGGAAGCCAAUAAAACUAAUGUGGGUAUGAAUUUUCUAAGUGAGAGUUUAGCUUAAAAACUAAUAUUUACUACAGAAUUUUGGCAGAAGUAGGUUUUAUGUACCCAAAUCUGUGGACGAAUCACAUAAUUUCUUUUAAUAAUUCAAAACCAUUGAGACCCAGACAGACUAAUUGAUUAGGCCCAAAUCACACAGUUCGACUGAACCCAGGAGACGCAUAAAGAUGCAUCCUAACAUUUUCAGGGCUUGAUAAAGAGGAUGAAGACGCCCACAUACCUCGUGCCCCAGGCCUGGUCCUACCCCUGCUUUUCCCUCCCCAGAUUCCUUCCUGCACCACCUGGGGAUACACAUCUGCUUCUGUGAACACUUCAGCCUGCAAGUCGAGAUCUGCCUCCUCCCCUGAACCACCACCUCCUGUGCACCUCUCAGACCUAGAAGCAAGCCACCCCCAUGACACAGGCCAGGAAGGUGGGGCAGAGGAAGAGGCCACGGUGGGCUCUAAAGCUAAGGAGUCUUCCAGUAGGAAAUUCAGGGUCUCAGGUACCCAGAUCACAGGGCAGAAGCUGGGCUUGGCUCUGGGUGGACUCUUCUGCUUGACUCCAGGGGUUCUUCUCACUGCAGCCAGGGGCAGGGCUAGACUACGCCAGAGCAGUUCCUCUCAUGCAUGGCCACUUAGCUAAGCCUUCCUUUCCCAGGCUUAAGAGUGGCACUUUUUAUAAAUCCCGUACAUUCGUAUAGUAUUCUUGGAAACCAAAGCAGUUUCACACACAUGAUAUCACUGGACCUUCCUGGGACCCCCAUGAUAUAGAAAAAACAGGUGUCACUGAGAAAAGUAAGAAGCAGAGAAAAGGACUCAAAGUUAGAAAGAAGCAGAGCUCAAGUUUCACACUGUCCACCGCCAUUCUGUUUCUGUUCCUGCCCUUCAAUAACUACCCACAAUGUCACUCUUUAGGGUGGGAAAGCCACCGUGCUAGACCACAACCAAAGGGAGGGACCCGAGCCUGAGCCCUCAUCUAAAAAAUCUGGCUUCAGGAUUUUGGAAACAUUCGAGGUGAAUAAAGUUAAGAUUCCACAUACCCUGGAGUUCUCUUGUGGCACAGCAGGUUAAGGAUCCAGCAUUGCCACUGCAGCAGCUAGGGUCGAUGCUGUGGCGUGGAUGUGAUUCCUAGCCCAGGCAUUUCCACAUGCCCUGGAUGCAGCCAAAAACAAAUAAACAAACAAACAAAGAUUCCGCAUAUCCUACCAUAGAUCACUAACUACCUGAGACUUCUUGAGCUGCCAUAACAAAGGACCCUAGACAAGGUGACUUGCAUCACAGAAAUGUAUUUUCUCACAGUUUCAGAGCCUUAAAGGCCAAAAUCAAAGUGUCUGCAGAUUCCAUGAGAGUUCCCUUCUGGGCUGUGGGCAGCUGACGUCUUGCUCUGUCCUCAGGUGCCUGUCCUUCAGGCAUGCAAAGAGAGAGAGAACUCUCAUGUCCAUUCUUAUGAGGACAUUAAUCCUGUGGGGUCAGAGCCCCUCUUAUGACCUCAUCUAAUCUUUGUCACCACUUCACUGGCUUAUCUCCAAAUACAGUCACAUUGGGGGUUAGGGCUUCAGCUUAUUAAUUUUUUUGGGGGGGCGGGGGGAGAUACAGACAUUUCACGUAAAGCAUUAAUCCAGAUAUACGUUUCUAUUACAAAAGUAGGGUCCAAUACGUCGUCCAUCACCCUAUUCUGCAGGUUCUUUUAUUAGAAUUGAUUAAAUUCCACAAACAAUUGCCUAAGAGCACUUGAAGAGUUUUACACUCUAGAUUGAUCUAUAGAUAACUGCAAACAUGUGUUAAGCGUGGUAUAGACGGGCACAGAACAUUCCUCCUGCUUCUGUCAUGAGCAAAACUUAGCUCCAGACCCCUCCACCUCUACCCAGCAGCCAUGGGUCGGGUGUCUCAGCUGCUGCUGUGUCCCCCAUAACAGGGAUAGACGUACCUGCAGUGAUACCUGCAGUAUCCUUAUAGACAAGUUCUAUUCUGCCAAAAAAUUAAUCAUUCUUUAUUUAUUACAGUCAGAACAUAUGUAUUGCUCCAGAAACUGCCCUAAGUGCUAGGGAUAGAACAACGCGCCAGCCACUGGGUCUGUCCUCGUGAAGCUCACAGUCUACUGAUUACAUAGCAAACGUUUUCCUGAGCCAUGGCAUUCAUGUUUUUGCCGUAAUGUUAUUUCUGCCCAUAUGGCCCAGCUGCAUGACUGUCUCCUGAUAUUGGACCCUGAUAAUUUUACAGUAAUGAAGCUGCUAUGCUAAAUAACACUCUCCACAUUUUCUGUCAUUUUCUUCCUGAUUUUAGGUUUUAAUAUGGAUUAAUCCUGCUAUCAAUGGAAAUAAGUUUUAACUGACACAAGAGAAUACAUUUUGAACACUGUUAUAACAUGAGUAGAAUAUCUGUCUUUUGCGUUCACAGAAGAAAAUUCGCACGACCAGCUGACUGCACAGUUGUUAAGACGGGAUAUUUUCUUCUCAAGUUUCAAUGGUUGAUUUGCCACUUUUCUCAGGUCUUUAGCUCAAAGCUGCUUGAUUUUGUGCCCUGUUAUUUACUUAUUUGUUUUUUGCCUUUUUCUUGUUAGAGCCGCAACCAUGGCAUAGGGAAGUUCCAAGGCCAGGAGUUGACGCAGAGCUGCAGCUGCACCACAGCCACAGCAAUGCUGGAUUGGAGCCAUAUCUGCCACCCGUGCCAGAGCUCACAGCAACAUCAGAUCCUUAACCCACUGAGCAAGGCCAGGGAUCAAACCAGCAUCCUCAAGGGUAACUAGUUGGGUUCAUUAUUGCUGAGCCAUAACAGGAACUCCCUGCACCCUUUUAAUAGUGGCUUUGUUGUUGUUCUGUCUGAAAGCGUUGAAGAUUUAUUUAUUUAUUUAUUUACUGUCUUUUUAGGGCCACACCCACGGCAUAUGAAAGUUCCCAGGUGCAGCCCUAAAAAGACAAAAAAUAAAUAAAUAAAUAAAAUAAACCUACAAAAUUAAAAAAAUUUAAUUUGAAAGUCCAUUUACAUAGACACAAAGAAUUACAUCAUUGACCACUGCAAUUGGACAAAGGCUGUCAACUUUAAGCUACCUU
This 5627-nucleotide long non-coding RNA is filed under the name Sus scrofa (pig). Its description in RNAcentral is "lncRNA (ENSSSCG00065000038.1)". The record is from RNAcentral. Lineage: Eukaryota; Metazoa; Chordata; Mammalia; Artiodactyla; Suidae.